AUGCAUGUGUAAGCACAUACUUUAACACAGUGAAGCUGCGAAUGGCUCAUUACAUCGGCUAUUAUUUAUUAGAUCAUACCAAGUUACUUGGAUAACUGUGGCAAUUCUAGAGCUAAUACAUGCAACACGGCUCCGACCUCUCGGGAAGAGCGAGUUUAUUAGAUCAAAACCAAUCGGGCCUCGGCUCGAGAGUUGGUGACUCUGGAUAACUUUGAUCUGAUCGCAGGGCCUUGUGCCGGCGACAUUUCUUUAAAGUGUCCGACCUAUCAACUUUCGUCGGUAAGUGACUUGCUUACCGAGGUUGUGACGGGUAACGGGGAAUCAGGGUUCGAUUCCGGAGAGGGAGCAUGAGAAACGGCUACCACA
RNAcentral lists this ribosomal RNA (366 nucleotides) under Aspidosiphon sp. USNM IZ 1449799. RNAcentral's name for it is "SSU rRNA". It matches the Rfam family "Eukaryotic small subunit ribosomal RNA", at positions 51 to 414 of the family's 1831-position model. The record is from RNAcentral. Lineage: Eukaryota; Metazoa; Annelida; Sipuncula; Aspidosiphonidormes; Aspidosiphonidae.